RNAcentral lists this ribosomal RNA (601 nucleotides) under uncultured Oscillatoriales cyanobacterium. RNAcentral's name for it is "bacterial SSU rRNA". It matches the Rfam family "Bacterial small subunit ribosomal RNA", at positions 152 to 787 of the family's 1533-position model. Lineage: Bacteria; Bacillati; Cyanobacteriota; Cyanophyceae; Oscillatoriales. The record is from RNAcentral.
GGAAACGACUGCUAAUACCCAAUGUGCCGAAAGGUGAAAAUUUUUUGCCUUGAGAGGAGCUCGCGUCUGAUUAGCUAGUUGGUGGGGUAAAAGCUUACCAAGGCAACGAUCAGUAGCUGGUCUGAGAGGAUGAGCAGCCACACUGGGACUGAGACACGGCCCAGACUCCUACGGGAGGCAGCAGUGGGGAAUUUUCCGCAAUGGGCGAAAGCCUGACGGAGCAAUACCGCGUGAGGGAGGAAGGCCUUUGGGUUGUAAACCUCUUUUCUCAGUGAAGAAGUUCUGACGGUACCUGAGGAAUAAGCAUCGGCUAACUCCGUGCCAGCAGCCGCGGUAAUACGGAGGAUGCAAGCGUUAUCCGGAAUUAUUGGGCGUAAAGCGUCCGCAGGUGGCCAUGUAAGUCUGCUGUCAAAACCCAGGGCUCAACUCUGGUCAGGCGGUGGAAACUACGUAGCUAGAGUCUGGUAGGGGCAAAGGGAAUUCCCAGUGUGGCGGUGAAAUGCGUAGAGAUCGGGAAGAACAUCGGUGGCGAAAGCGCUUUGCUAGACCAGAACUGACACUCAGGGACGAAAGCUAGGGGAGCGAAUGGGAUUAGAUACCC